This 94-nucleotide transfer RNA is filed under the name bacterium. RNAcentral's name for it is "tRNA-Sec". It matches the Rfam family "Selenocysteine transfer RNA". The record is from RNAcentral.
GGGAGAGUAUGGGCCUGGUGGCUCACCCGGUCUUCAAAACCGCGGAGGCCUUCGCAAGGGGGCUGGUCGGUUCGAUUCCGACACUUUCCCGCCA